GACGAACGCUGGCGGCGUGCCUAACACAUGCAAGUCGAACGGAAAGGCAUGCUUUCCCUUGUGGAUUGCGGGUACUCGAGUGGCGAACGGGGGAGUAACACGGGAGUGAUCUGUCCCCAACUUGGGAAUAAGCCAGGGAAACUGGGUUUAAUUCCCGAAACGACGGCAGGAUGGUGCCUGUGGUGGGAAACGAUUUUCUAGAGGUUGGGGAUGAGCUCGCGGCCUAUGAGCUUGUUGGUGGGGUAAUGGACCGCCAAGGCGGCGACGGGUAGCCGGCCUGAGAGGAUGGACGGUGGAAUUGGGACUGGGUUCCGGCCCAGACUGCAGCGGGAAGCAGCAGUUAGUGAUAUUGCACCAUGGGCCUAAGCCUGAUGCAGCGAGGCCGCGUGGGGGAUGACGGCGUUGGGGUUGUAAUCUCCUGUGAACCGCAAGGAAGCCACCUAGUUGGAAGUGUGGUGACGGUAGUGAAAGAAGAAGCACCGGCUAACUACGUG
RNAcentral lists this ribosomal RNA (494 nucleotides) under uncultured bacterium. Its description in RNAcentral is "partial 16S ribosomal RNA". It matches the Rfam family "Bacterial small subunit ribosomal RNA", at positions 28 to 507 of the family's 1533-position model. The record is from RNAcentral.